ACCCGCUGAACUUAAGCAUAUCAAUAAGCGGAGGAAAAGAAACCAACAGGGAUUGCCUCAGUAACGGCGAGUGAAGCGGCAACAGCUCAAAUUUGAAAUCUGGCCUCACGGUCCGAGUUGUAAUUUGUAGAGGAUGUUUUGGGUACCGCCGUGGUUUAAAUUUCUUGGAGCAGAAUGUCAAAGAGGGUGAGAGUCCCGUCUUGGACCGCGGUAGGGCCUGUGUAAAACUCCUUCGACGAGUCGACUUGUUUGGGAAUGCAGGUCAAAAUGGGUGGUAAAUUUCAUCUAAAGCUAAAUAUUGGCCAGAGACCGAUAGCGCACAAGUAGAGUGAUCGAAAGAUGAAAAGCACUUUGAAAAGAGAGUUAAACAGUAUGUGAAAUUGUUGAAAGGGAAGCGCUGGCAACCAGACUCGUGCGCGGGGUUCCCCCUUGCUUCUGCUUGGGUUACUUCCCCGUGUCCGGGCCAUCAUCAGUUUCGGGGGCCGGUUAAAGGCCUUGGGAAUGUAUCUACUCCUUCGGGGGUAGACUUAUAGCCCAGGGUGUCAUGCGGCCAUUCGGGACUGAGGAACGCGCUUCGGCGAGGAUGAUGGCGUAAUGGUUGU
Molecule: ribosomal RNA, 602 nt
Filed under: uncultured fungus
Lineage: Eukaryota; Fungi
Description: eukaryotic LSU rRNA
Rfam family: Eukaryotic large subunit ribosomal RNA
Source: RNAcentral